Molecule: long non-coding RNA, 33958 nt
Filed under: Ananas comosus (pineapple)
Lineage: Eukaryota; Viridiplantae; Streptophyta; Magnoliopsida; Poales; Bromeliaceae
Description: long non-coding RNA (ACOM_LNC027509)
Source: RNAcentral
GAAAUUAUAGGUUACGAGAGCGCCGAACAUGAAACGAAAGGAUUACCAAGCGAAUCCGAUUUUGCGGAGAUGGAAAGGAGAGGGGUAGAGCGAACGGCACGCUUAAUGGGUAGAGAGAAGGAGCGGAGGGUCGGGGUGGAGUGAUUAGGGUUUCGGAGAAGGGGAAUGGCGGGGAAGGGGUGGGUUUUCUCUCCAUGGAUGGAUCGAGGAGUUGCGGGGAGCGGCGUCGCCAUUGGCGUCGAACGAAGACGACGAUGGCAUCAGCAGUUAAUAGCCGAAACCUGCUUUUCUCCAGCGUAUUCGCCCGUUCGGUACUUUUUACGGGUUAAAUUGCACAACUGGUCCCGCACAUUUUGUCAAAUUUAAUUGCCUCUCAAAAUUUUUAAAUAUUUUAUUAUUUUUAUUAUUUAUUAAAAACUUAGAGAACUAAAAUAGGAGUUAACUAAACUAUAAAAAUUAGAAAAAACUUCAAAUAUCCCCCGUUUCACUUUUUAUUAUUUUAUUACUCUAUGAUUUAAAGUAUAUCGAGUUAAUAUCAUAUAGUUUCGCACUUUAUCACUUUAGUCCCUGUGGUUUCACACUUUAUUACUUUUUAAAAACUAUAUGGUACUAACUUGAUACAAUAAUAAAAUUAUAGAGUACUAACUUGAUACAUUUUAAAACACAGAGUACUAAAGUGAUAAAGUGAGAAAUCACAUGGUACUAACUCGAUAUACUUUAAACCACGUGAUACUAAAAUGGAAAAGUGUGGAACCACAAAUGGGCUUUUAGAAGUUUUUCCUAAAAACUACUAGUAAAUCAAUUUUUAAAAUUUUCCGUACUUUGUGAGAUUACGUGGCGUCUAGGUAUCCUGGUAAUUUUAAGGCUCUGAAAAGACGAGCUUUUGAAAAGGUAUUUCGAUUACUUGGGCUACAUACAGUUCGAGAGAAGGGUCGAGAAAAACAAGAUUCAAUCCAAGUUCAAAACGAAGCCACAGGCAUGGCCCUUUUGUUGCCUCAGCUGACGCACGGGCUUCUUGCAUGAGCAAUCCUUAGUUCGGAUCUCAAAUUUUCUGGGGAUAGUAGGUGUGUAUAAUAACUAUAACGCCGGGUUUAAAAAAUUCCAUUCGAAUGGAACGAAUCUGGAUUCAACCAGAAAAAAAAAAAAAUCAAACGAGAACCAAAUUGAAGUUAGACAACCAUUAAAAAAAGUUUGAGUUGUAAGGAAAAUAUGAAUUUAAAAUCUUAAUACUAAAUUUAGGAACUCGAACUCAAUUUAAAACCUUAAAUAAACUCGAUUAAUUAAAUACAGUAUUAUUAUUCGUAACAUUUUAACUUGGGUCCAAUUAACAUGAUUCGAAUUUCCGCCAAUUUAACAGAUUCGAAGCAUGAGGCUCCGUCUCGCCCUCCGAGCGGCCGCGCGCUCGGCGGCGAAGGUCUCGCAAAAAAUUUCCGCGCCGGAGAUAUUCCGGCGCUCGUACUCCCAACUCCACCCACAAUCCGAGAGGUCUCGCUAUUCCCGCAUCCACUAUCCCGUUUCGCUUUUUAUUCCCUGCUUAUUAUUCCCCAUUAUUCCAUCUCCAUUUCUCUUUCUUAUUCUCCCGCAGACCUUCGUUCGGGAUCGCCUUCGACAUCGACGGCGUUGUUCUUCGCGGUCGCACUCCGAUCGGUGGGUCGCCGCAGGCCCUUCGGAGGCUCUACGGCGACGAUGGUAUGGACGUGAGAUAGCCUUGUGGAACAUAUUGAUUAUUCAUGCUUAUUUGUUGUAAUUUGAUCUGUUGUCAAUGUGCUUAUUCUGGUUGGGGGGACCUUUUGUCGCUUUAUACUCUCGUCUAUUGCUGUUUCUGCAGUAGCUAUCUAUGUUCUAGGUUUAGCUUGUUGUGAUGGGGUUGAAUUUUAAGUUUGUUUCUCUGGGGCAUUUUGCUGAAUAGGUCGGGGGCAUGAUUCGCAAAUAAGCAUUCUGAAGUGUUCGUGUGCAUCUUAUGUAAUCUACACACUCAGCAGUGUUUGCUUAAGAGACUUUGUAACGUUAGAUGUGAAACUAAUUUGACUAGGAUGCAUUUCAAUUGAUGAUUUGAUUCUGCAGGAAGUAUUUCCCUUUCUUUAGUCAAAUGUUAUUUCCUUGUUGUCUAUAAAGUGAUGCACCGAUAGAUGUGAUAAUCGGUUGUGUUUGUUUCUGAGGGUCUGCUCUUUUUUCCUGCUUUGCAGGUACUUUGAAGAUUCCAUUUCUGUUCUUAACUAAUGGUGAGCUGUUUCUUGUAUCUUCGUUACAUGUUUUUGUUUCUCUUCCUUUCUCUUGGGCUAAGUAGGGUAGAAUUUGAAUUUGAGAUUACUAAAUUGCAAGAUUGAGGCCAAAUAAAACUGGUAUCAUUUUUUGUGCUGCUUUUGAUACUUUGAUUGUUUUGAUAUGAUGUCAUCAUGCCAGCAGUCUUUGCCAUCCUUGCAUUCAUAAUAAUGACGUCUUUCAAUCUUGUUUCAACAAUAUUGUAGAAGUUAGUCUAGUCUAAUACUUGACUAUUCGGAUCAUUUCACAUUAUAGGAGGCGGGGUUACGGAAUCAAAACGAGCACUGGAGUUGAGUGAGCUUUUAGGAGUUCAUAUCUCACCUGUCCAGGUACAUAAUUUGUACUUUCCGUAUGGAUCGACUUCAUGGCCAUUUAAUUAUUUUUUGUGACUGGUUGUACAUAUCGAAGAUAUAUAUGUGCACAUAGCAAUGUGAAGGUACUCUAGAAUUAAUUAAUGCUCAUAAUGCUUAAGUUGAGUCCAUGCUCUCCUUUUUAUUUCCUUUGUCAUCAAUUAUUGUUAUUAUCAUUGUAUGUCUGAGCUCUGUUUAUUGCAACUACGACACAGGUAGUGCAGGGACAUUCUCCUUUCAAAGAGCUGGUGAACAGGUAUAAACAUCCACAUUCAAUGGUCGAUAAUUUUAUCCUCAAUUUCGCCCCCUCUAUGUUCAUGUUUGCUUGUAAAGUCCUUGUAAAUGUUUAAAAAACUUAUAUGGACUUUAACCGUUACCUUCUUUCUGGAGUUGAAGGCCUCACUAAUUUUGUUUUAUAUUUCUCACCUCUGUUUUGUUAUAUUUCUUUGGAAAAAUGCAGCACGUUAUAAUCAUGCUUAAGUUUUAAAUUCCUCUUUUUCUUCAGAUUUGAAGAUGAACUAAUUGUUGCUGUUGGGAAAGGGGAACCUGCUACAGUAAUGUCAGAGUAUGGGUUCAAGUAAGCUCCAACAAUAUGGUCAAUGAGAAUUUCCUGUACCUGGAUUGUUGCAUCAUCGGAGUAGUCUAUAACAAUGCAUGCUUUUCUCAUUAUUUGCUAAUAUGUGCAGAAAAGUUCUUUCCAUAGAUGAACAUGCAUCAUACUUCAGUGACAUCGACCCCCUGUCUCCUUACAAGCAGUGGAAAACAAAGCAAAUGUUGGAUAGUAUGUAUAAUUCCAAGGAAGUGAACCCGAGAUGCAACGUUUACUCCGACAGAGUGAAAGGAGUGUUUGUUGUUAGCGACCCUGUCGACUGGGGAAGAGAUAUACAGGUGUUUAUUCUCCCUCUAGUCAUAUAGUUAUAAUCGGCAUUUUAUUUUCCCCAUACUGUCAUACAAACUAUCAGAUUAUUCAGCGAGCUGUAAAUGCUUCUGAUGUGAUUCUAAUAAGUGGGAUGCUGUAUAUGAUGUUUAAAUGAUGGCUCAUUUAGUUUAGUGAAAUAAUUUCGAGAUGAUUGGCAUAAUAUAAAAUGAUAUAUUCAUUCACUCAGGUACUCUGUGAUAUCCUAAAAACUGGUGGCCUUCCUGGAAAGGAGAAAGGACAUCAACCUCCUCUAUACUUUGCAUCUGAUGAUCUUGAAUACCAGGUAAGUCGAAGUUUGAGGAUCCUUUUUCUUAUAAAAUAUUAUUGAGAAUUCAUUCACUCUAAAGAUAGUUCUGAUUUCGAACAUCAACACUUGGCUGAUAUUUAGGUUGCAUUCACAUAUUUCUUCUUUCUUUUGUGCGUAAAUAUAAAGAGAGCUCACCUUCAAAUUGCUUUUCAAGGCAGGCUGCGUUUCCUUCGGAACGGCUGGGAAUGGGUGCUUUUAGGAUUGGAUUACAAAGCAUCUUUAAUGCGUAAAUGAAGCUGUCGAAGUUAUUUCUCCUAUUUACCAUGAAAUAUGGAGGACUUUAUAUCUCAUAUUCCCAACCUAAAUAUGCAGAGUCCAUGAUUCCCCUCUGGAGUAUACCUCAUUUGGGAAGCCAAAUCCAUUUGUAUUUAAGAACGCCGAGGCCAUUCUAUCAAAUCUCGUCUACAAUAUGUAUCCCCAUCAGGAGUUUGCAAUGGAAGGAAGAGGACAUACAUUCACUACUCUCUACAUGAUUGGCGAUAACCCUAAAGUGGAUAUCAAUGGUGCCUUGAAGGUUUGUUUUAUGAACCUUUAACUUGUGUGUUUACAUUGUUUGAGGCACCAUAAAAGUAGCUCCAGUAGGAAUCGUUCAGUUUGCUCAACCUUUACCAUUGUGACAAGUUGACCCAGAUCCAACAUGAUCCACCAUCAGGUCUGGUUGUUCAUGUUGGAUCAUGCUAGAAGUGACAAUUGUUUGCUACCAAGACCCCGGUCUGACCAAACCAGAUGUGACAAUUUGCAAUUAAAGAUUUUAUUAUAAAAAGGGGACCUGUUUAAGAAGAUUGCUUGGCAGUCAGAUCUAAUCUAGUUUGGCCCUUCUCCUGCUAACUCGUGCAAUAUAUGUUCAGCUUUCAUAGAUUAGUAGUUCUCUCUUUCUCUCUCUCUCUCUCUCUCUCUCUCUCUCUCUCUCUCCAUUCAUGUACACUAUAGUUUGUGUAUGAAAGGAUGUCUCUGUAAUGUAAUUCUUAGUUUUAUAUAUUACCAAUUGUGCUGAAAUACAGUUCUCAUUGUAAAAACUGUAGUAUUGGAUCUAUUGCUUCAUAUAUUGCCACCAGCAUAACUACUUACUUUUUUCUUACAGGCGGGGCGCCCUUGGUUUUCUAUCCUCACAAGAACAGGGGUUUUCAGGGGGAAAGAUAACGACACACAGUUUCCUGCAGAUUUGGUAGGUUCGUUUUUUUUCUCUAUUUUACCAUGCAGUGCAGGGUCUUAAAACAAGGUUUAUCCUUUGUUUUCCCUGUAAAAUGGGAUUGAAAGAUAAGUUUGACUUAUUUGUGGUUCCCCAGGUUGUUGAUACUGUUGAAGAGGCUAUCGAUCACAUUUUAAGGAAGGAGUGCUCAACAUCUUCGUCUGCUUUUUAGGCAAGUUAGUGCCAUUUGCAGGCUGGUUGUAAUAUGCUGAAAUGUAACAGGCUAACAGCUAUGCUGUGCUCAUUGUUUCUGAAAUCCGAUCAGAUAAUAAAUUAUUAGUUCAUUUUAUCAGAAGGCAUCAUUCUGAUGCAUUUGUGUGACAGGUUUGUGCUUUAUUGAGCAUAUUAACACAGUAUAUUUCUGUACUCUCAUAUCCCUUGCUGAAAGCAUGAAUGCUGUCUCAUUCGAACUGUCGAAUGUGGCAAUCAGACAGGGAGGUUAGAGCUUACUAUUUAUGAGAUCAAUAUUAACCACAAACCUCGCUAUUUAUAAGUUACAAUAUUCCAGGAGCUGAGCACCUGUUUAACCCUAGACAAUAGUCAAUUGUUUGCAAAGAGAAAAAAAAAGCUUUUCCUAUGAUAGGGAAUUUAAAUGAUCUUCCAUAUCCUCAAUGUUAAAAAAAAAAAUUAAAAAAAAAAACUGUCUAUCGAAUUGUAAUGUGAAUGUAAAGUUAGAAAAUUGUUUAUUAGCUAAAUCAAUGAGAGAUCCGUAGUAUUCAUUUUUGUCUGCAGUCUCGUAAAUGGUACGUAUACUCAUGGAGAUGUUCCUGGGCAUAACAAAACUCCAAAUAAUAAUAAUAAAAUGCUAAUAAAGAAAAUUGCAUUUUUAGUUGGACCAAACAGGCUUGCAGCCCAGAGCGGCGAAGCAAGCCCAUUCCCGAACCCUAAAACCCUCGUUAGCGGAAGCCGUACCAUCACCCUCGGAGGUCUGAACCGGCGGCGAUGACGUCCGUGCGCUCGGCUGCGUCGACGGCGCUGCCGCCGAUCCGGGCGGCGGUGGCGCGGUCGAAGCGCGAGGCGAUCCGGCGGGAGCUGGAGAACUGCCAGCUGCUGGCGGGCAUCUGGUGCCACGGGCUGACGGUGCGGCAGCUGCAGGCGCUCCGCGGCGCUCUCCCGGAUACGGCGCGGCUGGUGGUGGCGAAGAACUCGCUGGUGGAGAAGGCCAUCGAGGGCACCAAGUGGGAGCCCCUCCGCCCCUGCGCCAAGGGUAUGAACGCCUGGCUCUUCGUCCACUCCGACGACGUCCCCCCCGCCCUCAACCCCUACCGCCACUUCCAGCGCGAGUGGAAGCUCGCCCUCAACGACUUCACCGGCGCCGUCUACGAGGGCAGGCUCUACGGCCCCGACGAUUUCGCCGCCCUCGAGGCCAUGCCCACGCGCCUGCAGUCCUACGCCUACCUGCUCGGCUGCCUGCACACCCCCGCCGUCUCUCUGCUCGGCGUCCUGCAGGCCGCGCCAGUACAGCCCGCCCCUGCCCCUCCCCCUCCCCCUCCCCCCAAGGAGGAGAGUUAGAUAGAUGAUCACGUAAGCAUCUCCUGUUAAAAUGUUACCUUGCAUGAAAAGAAGGAUUUCGUUCGAUCUGCACAAUUGCUAGAUUUUAAGCGACUUUGUCGUCGGCGGUCAUCUUCCUAGUUAGUUGUGAAUUAUGGGGUAGCUAGCUCUGGUUUUGUACAUGCAAAUAGUUUCUAGUAACUGCUCGAGAGGGAUUUAGCGGCGCGAUUUGGCUUCGCUCCUGCCCCCAAAUCAACCAAUAUAUGCACAUUUAAUUUCCUUUCUGGGAAUGGAAAAUUUGGGGUGAUGUUAUUUGGACAUCUCGGAUAUCUACUCUUUUGGAAGAUAAGGCGAAAAUUUGUACAAACUCGAAGAUCUUCUAUCUUGAAUCAUCUGUAUGCAGAGCAUUAGAUUUUUAGAUUAGAUGCUGGAUACGGUUAAACCAGAAGUUGGACCUGAUUGGACGAGUUAAGUGAAUGUCAUAAUUCAUAUCAGGACCUGCUCUUGAGACUACAAUGCUUAAAAAUCCACCUUUGAGCACCGAUAAUGUGACUAAAAUAACUCUCCUAAAGUUCCACCUCUUCUGCUGGUUGUACAUUACUUACAACAUGGACCUUGUUUACUCUUUUCUUUGCUAGUGGAAUGGUCUUGGCACAAUAGAAACAUAUAAUGGUCGGCUACGAAUGAAUUUACUCACAUUUUGAGAACCACCACUGUUCUGUUAUAGCCUUAUAAACAGUUUCAGUCGUUGGGCGACUUUUAGUAAAAAUGGCACCGCUGAAGUAAAAUAUUUAGAGAAAGCAUGCUAACAGUUUCAGUAGUCAGAUACGACGUUAGAAAAUCGAAACUAUUCAAAUAUUUGAAGAACAUUUAGACUAUGCUAUUUUACUGUUUAACUGAUGUUAGCAUUUACUGAGAGCCGAUCAACAUUCACUGCCCAUUAUUUUGCCCUUUUUUUUUAGUGAGGAAGGAAUCUGAAUGGAUAAUCAAUUUUUUUUUCCGCUUAAUCAUAAUGGAUUUGAUAAAACCCAGUGAUGCCACCUUCUCUGCAAGCACCUGCCCCCGUGCAUUGGCACUUUUUUUCUGUUUUGAGAGAGAGAGAUUCUUGUUUUUUUGAGAGAAAGGUAGCAUGCGACCGCUGCAUUCAUUUAAAAGAUGAACUAGGCCUCAGAGAGGGGGGGAAAAAACUAAACACAACAAGAAUUCCAAAGGUUCCUAUAAGAGCGAAUCUCCACAGCAGCUGUCUCAAGGUGAGCUUCUUAUUCAGAGAGAAAGGGAAAUUGACACAUUGAAAUAAUGGAACUUACCAAGUGUUCGCUCAGAAACUUUCGAUGUGCAUAAAAAACAUAUAUUGACAUUCUGAUUUUGUGGGUUCUCACCUUAGAGAUUAAAUAUUUAUAGGAGCUUAAACUGUGAGGAGAUUGUGAAUUUUCUUUUAUCUCAUUCCUUUACUUGUCAUAAUCAUCUCUUUUUUUCUUAUGAAUGAGUAUUCAGAUUCAGAUCUCCGUUUUUCUCCGUAGGUAUUUAGCAUCUUUUUAUUCCUUGCUUGGAUCAGGUAUGUGGUGGCUUAAUGAAGGACACAUGGUAAAGUGAUGCCAGAAUGUCAAUCAGCUAAACACAAUUGAGCCAUGUUUUUUCUAUUAUCAGCAGAAAGUGUGUUUUACUUUGUGGGAAUAUUCCUAUAAUUGUCUCUCCCUUGUUGGCAAAAAUAAUUAAUCGAUUAAUGAGAUACCAAUUAUAUUCUGCUUUUUUACAUUUCCAUUUCCAUUUUCAUUAUCCCGACAAAACAGAGACUUGGGCAUUUGUGUAUCUCUGUUGCUGUUGUUUCGUUAUAUUAUGACCAGCAUGUGUGGGAUAAACUUCUAGCUCUCUUUCCUAUUGUUCUUCCUGCUGCUUUUGUCAUUUGGCUUGGAUUUGGUGAAAAUUUUGGAUGUUGUUCAUUUAAUGGAUUGCGUGUUUUUUUUUUUUGAGAGAGAUAGGUAGCACGCUACCCGCUUCGUUUAUUUCAUUAAGAAAUAAACUUAGCUGGAAAUGUGAAUCAAUUAGGAUUCGAACUUGGGAUCUCGAGUAUCAACCACCAAGCCCUUUGCCACUUAUUCUAGGGACGGUCGGUAAUGGAUUGCAUGUUAUUCAUAAACCUUUCUAUUGAGGUGAUUAUCCAGAAAUUUUGAUACAUAAGGAAGGCGUAAGAAUUCCUAGACUUGCAGAAGAUCAACUAAGCUUUGUUCUCAGACAUAGCAGAGUUUAUUUAAGGAAUAGGAGUAAUGAAGCGUUGAUGGUGUUUGUUGAUGCUGACUCUAGACAUGGUUGUUCUUGAAGUUCUGUUUUUCUUAGUAUUGCCAUCAAUGAUCUAACAUAAAUUGUCGGGUGCCUUUCUGGAAGGGAAAAAAGAAACUAUUGGUGGAUUAUAUUUCGGUUUCAAUUAGAGCCAUUUGGUUCAAAGUUUAUAAUAUUUUGAAAAUUUGUAAAUAUUAUAUAUUUUAUAUUGAAAAUGAUAAGUUUGUUAUUAAUUUAUCAAGUUACUUAGGUCAGGAGGUUGUUAAGAUAAUAAUUUUCAUUUAGUACAAAAUGAGAAUAUUUCUCAAUCUAUGAUAAUCUAGUAUUUCUAUCACUUGAAAAUUUAUAAUUAUUCUACUGUUUGACUAACAUCUUUUAUAGCUACUGAAUAUAAGUAGAAUGGUAAUAAUUUAAAUAUUUUUAAUAAAAAAUAGAGAGAAUUCCUGAAAUAUUAUAAAUCGUGAACCAAUUGGACAAGUGGAAGAGUGGGAAAGAGUGGGAGAAUUGUUGCUUGUGGCAUGCGCUGCGCCACUCAUGACUCAUCAAAUGAUUUGAUGCUUGUUUUGUGGUUCUGUUCUCGGUUGAGAUCACAAAGGUGCUAAGCUUCGCGCGAAGAACCUAGUCCUCGUAGACCACUCGUCAAUGAUUUGGUGCUUGUUUAAUGGAUCUAUUCUCGGUUGAGAUGUUAAAGGUGCUAAGCUUCGCGCGAAAACCCUAGUCCCCAUAGACCAGAAGUGAGAUGCCCAGGGAAAAUUUUGAAAGGCAUGGGAGGGAAAGAAUAGAAUCCUAAAGGCAAAGAGAGAAAAAAAAAGGAGGAUCAACUGGUUCUCUCGAUCGGCCCCAGGCGAUGGUCCAAAGUUAAAAGCCGGGAAAAUAAAGCCAGACGAUGGAAAGAAGGCCCCCGGAAGCCACACAUAGCAAAAGAAGAUGCACAGCUGAACACUCAUAUAAAGAACUUCUUCUUGGCCACAACCAGUAAAGAACAGGCUAAAGCAGGGAGACACGCCGACAAUGGAAUCUCGUGCCCUCCUGCAGUAGCCCACCAUAUCACCCCUCAUGGGCAUUAUCCUGUCCCAACUCGAAAUAUAGUUAGGUUAAGGCAUGUCAUUUAGGGAGUGACACAUCUAGCUUUUGCUCCCUUUCCAAUCUUAGGAUUGAUUACUUUUUGCCAGUGAUUCAGUUUGUUGGCUUAGAUGCUUGUUUUGGUUAACACAUGUAGUAAUGAUCGUUAGAAAAGGAAAGGUUUCUUUUGGACAAGCAUAUUAUUUAAGGCUGUGUUUGAUUGGAGGGAUAUUCCAGAACAAGACGGGAUAUCCCCCUUUAUCCACCCAAACACGAGACAAAAUGGGACAUCCUCUUUGUUCUAAGCCUAGUUCUCCCUUACAUGGAGAACAAAUCGGAACAAAAAAAUUUAGCUCUUUUUUUCCUAUUAUGCCCUUUUAUUUUCUUUAUACUUUAUUUUAAUUAAUUUCAAAUAAAUCAAAUUAAGGCUCAAAUUUUAUGCUACUAAAUUAAUGUUUCUAAGGUGGUUUGUAAACAUAUCAAAUUUGUGAAAUAAUUUGCUCUUCUAUAUUUAAAAUUAUAUAUUUAUAUUUAAUUUUAAUUGGUUUCAAAUAUAAAAUUGGAAGUAUAUUUUUACUGUUAUAUUCAAAAUUAUACUAUUAUAUAUUAAUUAUAUUUCUAUUCAUAUAUAUUGAAUUGUAUUUUAUUAUUAUAUUCAAGGGCAUAAUUGUUAUUUUAUUUAAUUUUUAUCAAUCCAAUACCUUAUUUCAACAUAAACAUCCAAACUGGGAUAUCCUCUAGAACAAACAAAAAAUAUCCAAACGUAAUUUAGAACUUGUUCCGGCUUAUCCUAGAACAUUUCCUGUUCUCGAGAACAAUAAAAAUUAUCUUUUACAAUUUAGUUCUCAAACCAAACGCAGCUGGGUGUCAGGCAUGUAUAUAAGCUUGGCCUCUUAUAGGUGAUAAGCCUUAUAAUUUGUUGUCCCACAUGGUGCUUUCCUAUUCUUAUUCCUUUUCCCAUUAUGUUAAUAGCUGAAAAGGUGAUCUUCUUCCUGCUAUUUGAACCAAGUGUUUUAUGUGAUUUAAUCCGCAAAUCCACCGAUGGUUUCUAGGAUGCACAUGUUCUGUGAAAUAUAAAACAUAGAGGUUUCUGUUGGUUAAUUUAGUCACAACAUGAAUUUCUUUGGAUAUUUAUUUAUUACUCCUCAAACUGAAUUAGCCGAGGUUUUUCGUUCUUUUAGUUCAAUCAUUUUCUAUCUGCAUUACUAAUCCAUGAUUAGCCUAAAUUAAUUCUUUGAGAAAAAAUAAGAAGGAUUAGAGUAAUUGGAAUCUAAGAAAGAAGAGAUUGUGCGAAUGGGACGCCAAGAGUAGAGAUUUUCUGAGAAUCUAAAGCCUCGAAGGAUGACACCGAGAUUGCAUUGUCUACUUUAGCUCGACGGAGAAGCAGAAUAAUUUUACGACGACAUGUGGGAUGAUACUUUAGAGAAUUUUUCUUUCUUUAGUUCUGGAGGUUUCAAAACCAGAAGUUGAGAAGCAAAGAAUAAAGAAGGCAAUUUUGAUGGAUGGUGGGGCACUUUUUUUUUUUUUUUUCUUCUUAUUUGAUAUAUGAGAACAGUCAGGUAGGCUUCGCCAACUGAGAAUAGUCAGGCGAGGGCAUGUGUUUGCACGGGUUUUAUGCUUGGAAUAUGCGUUGACUAGGAUUAUAAUUACAAGGAAAAACUUCAAAAACCUCUCUUGGGGUUUCAUUCUUUCUCACUUUAGUAUCCUAUAGUUUAAAGUGUAUCAAGUUAGUACCCUAUGGUUUCGCACUUUCUAACUUUAGUACCCUAUGGUUUAAAGUGUAUCAAGUUAGUAACCUAUGGUUUCGCACUUUCUCCAUUUAGUACCAUGUGGUUUAAUAUUUUAUUAAGAGAAAAAUAAAACCACAGGGUACUAACUUGAUAAAAAAAUAAAACCACAAGGUACUAACUUGAUACAAAAAUAAAAUCACAGAGUACUAACUUGAUACACUUUAAACCACAAGAUACUAAAGUGAGAAAGUGCGAACCCACAGAGUACUAACUUGAUACAAUUUAAACCAUAGGAUACUAAAAUGAAAAAGUGCGAAACCACGGGAGGUCUUUGAAGCUUUUCCUAAUUACAAUGAGAUCUGAUUUGGCCAUAUUCGCAAUUGUUGGUUGUAUCCUUCCAUUUAGAUUGUCUUAGAAUUUGAUUGCUCCAAGAUUCUGCAAGGAUGUGCAGACCCUGCUGCCGGGGAAAAUGCUGCUUGGCAAUGACAAGAACAAAAGCUACGUUUCAGGAAUACAUAAUAAAAAAGUGCCGCAUGGGGACAGACUGAGGCUACUUAGGGCAUGUUUGUUUUAGGGCAUGUUUGAUUCGUCGAAAGUGCAGUAUCGAAAGUGAUACUUUUAGAAAGUGACGUCUUAUCGGUUAUUUGAUUUACAAAAGUGAAUAUAAAAGUUACUUUACGAAAGUGGGCUCAUAAAGUGAGUUAUAACUAAAUCUUACUUUUUUGACUUUGGUUCAAAAAAUUCGGAAGCCACCGAAAGUGGAGAGCUUAGCUAAGAUCGAGGUUAUAUUUGGUCUUAACUUUAAUAUUUAAAUUUAUUUUUAAAGUUUAAUUUCACUUUAAAUUUGAAUUAAAAUUAUGAUCACAUUUUGAAUUUUAUUUAUCAAUUAAAAUUCAACAUAAAAUUUUAGAUUUCUGACUUUAUAUUUAAAUUUAAAAUUUUAUUUUUAUUUUUAUUUAAAGUUGAAUUCUAGAAUUUAAAUUUAAAUUUUAAGUUUUAAACUUUAAUCAAAUUAUUUUUAGUUAAGAACUUCAAUUUGAAAUCUGAAUUCAAAUUGUUCUAAGUAUAAAUUCAAAUUAUUUACUGAAAUUUAAAUUUAAAAUUUAAAAUUUCAAGUUAAAAUUCAAAUUUAAAUUUGUUAUUUACAUUUAACUUCAAUAAUGAGUUUUAGUCUGAAUUUGAAUUCAAAUUAUGAAUUCAAAUGUUCGAUUCGAAUUGUGAUUUAAAUUCAUAUUUUAAUUUAAAUUUAAAUAUUAAUUUAAAUUGUGAAUUCAUAUUUGAAUUGAGAAUUUAAGAUCAAAGAGUAAAUUAAUAUAUGAUUCAAAUUAUAAAUUCAAAUUUGAAUAAAUUUUCUAAUUUUUGUGUUGAACUUUUAUUUUAAAAUUUAAUUUCACUUAUAAGUUAUAACUUAAAUUUUUAAUUCAAAUUGUAAAUUAAAUUUAUGUCUUAAAUUUUUAAUUUAAAUUGCAAGUAUAAGUCGUUUGUUUAUAUUUUUACCUCUUUAUAUAUAAUUUAAUAAUCAAAAUAUAUAAAAUUGUAGUUUUAAUUUUUUACUUUAUAGCAACCAAACAAUCGAACUGAAAAGUCACUUUUAUAAAAGUGACUUUUAUAAAAGUGAUUUUUUCCACUUCACCGACUUUCGAGUAACCAAACACGCCCUUAUCGAAACUGAGCUUUGGGUUGAAGUGGAGUUCGAAAAAAACUAUUUCUUUCCCGUUGUUUGUUUCGUAGUUAUAGAAGUGAAGUUCCAUUAGUUUUAUGGUUUGUUUGGUAGGAAGUGUAUAAUAUAAAACUAUAAUUUAUAUAUAAAUAAUAAAUAUUUUAAUAAAUAAAAAUAAUAUAAUUAUAUUUUUAUAUAANAUAUUAAAAAUUAACUAAUCAAUUUUUAUCAUAUCUUAAAUAUGCUAACUGAAUAAAAGUGUAAUUAGUAAUAUAAUUAAAUAUAUUUAAAUAUAAUUAUCUUUAUCUAGUAUAUUUUUUUUUCACCUCUCUUCACCGUAAUUGACUUCGGUCCACGAAGAAGUAAAGUCAAUUACGCCAUUUGAAAUUAACUCGAGUUUAGACUGUACCUUUUUUAAGACGAACCAAAUAAUGGAAGUGAUCAGUUAUGCCGAAAACGACUUCUCUCCUCUCCACUUCCACCCCACUUCCAUCCAAACAAACACGCCCUUAGCGAAGCAUUAUUGGGGCCAAUCUGCAUAAAAAAUUCAAAAAUUUUUAGCUUUUGUAAAAUUAGGCCACUAUUUUGAGUUUUGCAAAUUCAAUCUGAAUUUUCCAAAAACUGACCAAAAUACUAUUAUUUUCUUUUCUCUCUUUUUUUUUAUGUUUUUUUUUUCUCUCCAACCCUUCUCUACUGCCUCCGCAGCCUUUUUUGUCAACAACAAGGCGGUCCGCCUUCUCUUCCUGCACUUCUUUUUUUUUUUUUACUUUCUUUUUUUUUGUCUCUCCGACUUUCCUCCAUCGCCUCUGCGAUCAUCUGCCACGAUAACGACGGCGACGCCACCUCCUCUUUUGAUGCCGACAUCGGAGAAGAAGGAUUUAAAGCGAGUGUGAAUUAGAGCGGAACGAACGAAAGCGAUGAAGUCGUGGCCGAGAUAGUGCUCGUUGUUGCUCAUGAGGGUGAGAACGAAAACGUGCCCACACUUCUCCAAAGAGCGCUUUUGAUGGCUGCAACAGAGGGCGAAGGAGAAGCCGUGACAAAGUGACAAAAAAAAAAAGGGAAAACUUAAAAUACCCCCGUGGUUUCGCACUUUCUUACUUUAGUACCCUAUGGUUUCAAGUGUAUCAAGUUAGUACCUUGUGGUUUCACACUUUCUCACUUUAGUACCCUGUGGUUUAAUAUUUCGUUAAAUUAUAUACCCCGAAAUGGAUAAUAAAAAGAGAAAAUUGAAACCAUAAGGUACUAACUUGAUAUAAAAAUAAAACCAUCGAGUACUAACUUGAUACGCUUGAAACCACAGGGUACUAAAGUAAGAAAGUGCGAAACCACAUAGUACUAACUUGAUAUACUUUAAACCACAUGGUACUAAAGUGAGAAAAUGUGAAACCACAAUGGGGUAUUUGAAGUUUUCCCUAAAAAAAUUAUUAAGAGAAAAAAAAUUAGAAUAAUAAAAAAUAAAAAAAUUUCCUAUAAAAAAAAUAAAAAAUUAUUAAAAAAAGAAAAUAAAAUUAUAUUGUUAAAAUAAAUUAAAAUUAUUUUUAAAAAAGUUGUACCGUUUUAUACGAAAGUUACACUUUUUGAGACAAUAAUUAUACUUUUGAUAUGAGAGUUAUACUUUUUAGACAAAAGUUGCACUUUUUGAGUAAAAUUUAUAUCGUUUCUCUUUUUUUUCCCCUCUUACUCUUCCUCCUUUCUCACUACAACAUAAUUAGGUUAUAGCGACACAUGUUUGGGACACUUUUGUGUAAGUGUCCCAUUUAUGCCAAAACUUAAAAAAAAAUCUACUAAUGUCUAAAUAAAAAGCCCAAUCUAACAAAAAAUAAAAGGUUACUCUAUUCAACCCGCCCCACCCAGCCUAUUCGGCCCGAUUACAAACAGAAAAGAAAAAAAAAAUCAAUUACCAUCUCCCCUUCUCUCCUUACUCAAUCCACUGAAAUUCUAGACGAAGAGCCCUUCCCUUUCCUCAUCCUUCGCCACUGCAGCCAACGAGAUAGAGUUCCGGCGGUUGCUAAAUGCUUCAAUAAGCGUUAGCAAAUUAGCAGCACUUUUUUUGGCUUAUAUCGACACUCUUUAACUGUCACUAUAUAUCUAGCGACCCCACAUAUAGCAACACUUUCUAAAAGUGUAGGUAAUUUAGCCAGCAGCAUUUUUUUUGACAUGUACCGACAUUUAAAAGUGUCGCUAUAGACCGUUUUUGUUGUAGUGUCUCUCCGAUUUUUUGUACUUUUCAAACACCCAUCCAAGACUGACGACACAUGUGGUGGAGGCAGAUGACGUCGAAGAACAAGGCGGCGAAGGCAAAGGUGGCGGCGGCCCGCCAUGCCUUCGCCCUACAAGAGGUGCGCCUCGGCGGUGGGCGUAGGUAAGGAUUUCCUGCCUUGCCUUUCCGUAGCGAGGAGUGCACGGGCAAGAGCACGACACGCAUCCCACCGGUGUUUCUUACCCGCACCUGCGCACCCCCUGCCUUGCCUCCGCCCCCAUUAACGCGUGAGGGCGCGGUGGAGAGUAGAGGCAAGGUGGUGACAUCAAUGGGGACGAAGGCGAGGCGGGGGUCCUCACCCGCGGUCGCGCACCACCUACAGGAUGGAGGCGAGGUGAGCCGCCGCCGUCGCCGCCACCGUCGCCUCUGCCUCUGUCACCCUCUUCUCUGGUGUCGUCGCGCUCUCCUCCGCCUCCACUACGCGUUGCCGACCAAGGAUAGACAUAUAAAAAGUAUGAGAAAAUGGAAGGAAAGGAAGAGGAAGAAGAGGAAAAAAAUAAAAAAUGAUGUAAAUUUCACUCAAAGAGUGCAAGUUUCGCCUAAAGAGUGUAACUCUCAUCUCAAAGAGUGUAAUUUUUAUUUUGAAGAGUUCAACUUUUAUAUAAAAUAGUGCAAUUUUUUAAAAAAUAACAUAACUUUAUUUUAACAGUAUAAUUAUCAUUUUCUUACUUCUUAUAUGAUUUUUGAUUUUUUUAAAAAAUAUUAUUUUAUUUUAUUUUUUAUUAUUCUUAUUUGUUUCUCUCUAAUUUUUUUUUUUUUAUUCUCACAACCUCUUCCUCGCUCUCUAUCGUAGCUAUCACCCUCGCCGGAAGCGCUCUUUGGAAAAGCAUGGGAACGUUUUUAUUUGUAGCCUCACGAGCAACAGCGAGCACUAUCUCGGCCACAGCUUUAUCACCUCCGUUAGUUCCGCUCUUAUCCGCACUGCCUUUGAAUCCUUUUCCUUCGGCAUCGGCAUUGAAAGAAGAGGCGGCGCCAUUGUCACUAUCACAGAAAACUGUGGAGGCGAUGGAAGAAAGUCGGAGAGAAAAAAAAAAUGUGAAAAAAAAAGAAGUGGAGGAAGAGAAGGUGGGUCGUCCUAUUGCCGUCGAGAAAGACUGCAGAAAUAAUGGAAGAGGAUCGGAGAGAAAAAAAAAAGAAAGAAAGAAUAAUUUGGUUAGUUUUCUAAAAAUUCGGACAAAAAUGCAAAAUUCAAAAUAAUAAUAUAGUUUUGUAAAAACUGAAAAUUUAUGAAUUUAUUAUGCAAAUUGGCCCAUUAUUGGGGGAGUUUUUGGCUGAUUUAGUUUUUUUUCCAUUUUUACCGGAACCUCCCUUUGUGGCCGUUACCAGAAAUGCACAAGCUGCAGGUGGAUAAUAAACGGCGUUAACCCCUGCGUUAUGAUUUUUUAUAGCGCGCGAGUCGGUGGGCCCCGCGCCCCGACGAAAACGACAGGUAGGGCGGGCGAGGAUCUCGGGCCCACCCACCUCUCCCCGGCGCACUCUCCCAGUCUCCCACUCCCUCUUCUUUUAACGUGAGCAGUAAAAUUGCGCCACGUGGCAGCGAGUUCCGAUCUGGGAGGAUCAGCGCGAUGCGGGGCGGGAUCGUGAGGUCUCGGCUUUUGAUUUUGUCCAUCUCCCGUGCCACGUCGGACGCACUUGGGCCGUUACCCACCUCCAUUUGUGCCACGUCACCCGGAGACGGACCCCUAAUAGUAAUAUAUCUUCCCCGCGGAUAUCUUUUUCUUUAUCCUCUCUCUCAGCGUCCCACCCCUCCCCCCUCCUUAGUAGCAGCUAUGGUCCUCGGAGCUCUUCACCCCUCCUCCUCCCCGCCGCGCCAUUCCUCUUCUCCCACGUGAUACAAAAGCCUACUGCGGAUCGAGCUCGGAGAAAGCGAAACCCUAAUCCUCUCCUUGUGCUCUGGUUCGUUGUUUUGGGUGUUCGUCUCCUCUUUGGUCGAGGAAUCGGAACCGAAGCGGAUCUCCGGCGGUUCUCGCUUCGGCCCGCCGGGUUCGGCGAUCGAUCGGAGCGCGCCAUUUUCGACCAGGACGAGCGGUAUCGAUUCUUCCUCUAGCCUGUUUAGAUUCGUUUUGCGAACUCGCGGAUUUGUGGUUUGUCGAAUCCAUUCUCAGCUAUCGAUUCGAUUCUUUCUCGCAGAAGCUCAAUCUGCGUUGCGAUCUCCCGUUUCGAACCUUGAAUCGGCGAUCUUCUCGGAGAACCAGAGGUUUUGUGUUUGUCCUUUGCUGAUGCAAACUUUUUUUUUUCCCAGGUUUUUGGCUCGUCCGAUUUGUAGAAACCCUUGCUCAUGUUCUUUUCGUUGAAAUCUCUUCGCUCUCUGAGUGAUCCUUGAUCUAGUUGCAAGGAUAUUUGAUUAACUUUUGUUCUUAUUGAUCCGUAGGAGGCUAAAUUUCGAGAGCAAUUAGGGUUUCUCAUACAUCGUACCCCCCUUUCAAUUAAAGAACAGUGAAAGGAAUCCUUUCCAAGGCCAUUGAGCUUGCCAUAGAUCACAUUGUCUUGGCGUUUCAGAGGUUUUGUGGGCAAUUAACUUCAUCAUUUAUGUAAGUGAUUCUAGGGCAUUGAUUAUGUGGCUUCUUUUAUCUGAUAUAACAACUAAUACGUUCUUGUCUCUGUGACCUGGAAAGCAGCUUGGAGUAGUUUGAAGAUAAUUAAGCUGUUCCUGAAGACGAACGAUUAUGUCCAGGGUCUGUGCGAAGGAGAAAUCAUCUCCACUCACGGUUAGCACCAUUUCCAGUCUCUUCAAGUCCAGUGUAUGGGAAGUUCCCAUCUAGUGAGUACGGAGGGGGUUGUCCACAAAGGGCUGGCGGAACUAAACCGCCAUGUCCUAAAUGAACCGAAGGAAGUUAGGAAUGGUGUCGUCAGGGAGGGCCAUGGGCUCUCUGAAGAAGAUGAGUCAAGGAUUAAUGAGGUGGAAGAUAUGCAAUACGAUCAUGCUAGAGAUUCUGCAUUCCUAGCACAAGAGGGUGAUUCGCAGAAGCAGCAGAAAGGCCCAAUCAUACAGUGGGAGAGGUUUCUUCCUGUCAGAACGCUCAAGGUUUUACUUGUGGAGAAUGAUGAUUCUACCCGCCAUGUGGUCAGUGCCUUGCUCCGUAACUGUGGCUAUGAAGGUACAUAGACAAACUCUAUCAUCUUUACUUUUAAAAUAUUGAAUCAGCUUUUGUCGCACUUCAUUUACUUAGUGCAGUGCUUAAACCAAGUAUGCAAAUCAUCUAAUAUAUUGUGUGUUACCACAAUCUUUUCCCAAGUCUACUACCAUUGGGAAGCAAUAUUUAUCUUUCAGAGCUUUUCAUGACCAUUUGCAGAGUUGGUGCAAUAUAUCGUGUGCUACUGUUUCAGAAGUCGCAAACAUAACUUUCACAAUUUGAGGUAUUUUAGUACAGCAACAGAUAAAAACAUGUGUUAAAAAAAUUCUUCAAGGUUUAUAGGGACCAAAUUUCCUAUCUUGAAAGGAUCUAUUCUACUUAAUGGUUUUAGAUGACUAGUAUUCUUCCUGACAACCAGCAACAUCAUUGAGUGAGCUUUUGAUCUCACGAGCGGAUAUGUUGUUGGUAGAAUUGUUAAGACCUUGCCUGAACUACAGCACAAUUUAAGCAGGUGCCUGAACUUUAAAAGUUUUGAUAUUGCUAGCUAACCUUUCAAAGUUUUAGAAGUGCCUGCAUGAAAAAUUUAAAGUUUUGGUUUUUCUACCCAGUGGUAAAUUAUCUAUAACAUUUCUGUUGGAAUAUUCUGUUGCCUAAAUGAAUAUUCUAUUACUUGAUUAAAUAUUCUUUAGCCUUUCAACCGAAACGGUUGAAUUCUAACACUGAGGGGCUGUUUGGCAACCAUAGAAAUUAAAAACAGAGUUUUAUAUUUUAUUGUAAUAGAUUGGUACCAAAAUCUUAAUAAUUCAUAAUUUUUUACCCCUUUUUUUAGUGUUUGGCUCAAAUUUUGAAAAAAAAAUACUAUAAUAAAAAAAAGCCCACCAUCACCACCAUCACUACCAUAUUUUCUUUGCUUAGACCCAGCCCUACCACCAUCACCUUUUCCUUGCCCAAACCCACCACCACCACCUUCUCUUUCCUAUUCAAACUCAAUACCUCUUCAUCUUUCCCACCUUCAUCACCACUUUUCGUCUCAAAAACCCAAUACAAAGAACCUACUGGUGUCCCAUCUCGAAGCGACGCCUAUGGGAGACAGCAGUUGUGGCGGAGGGCAUAGGGGAGGUGGAGAGGCGCAGUCGACGGAGUGGGAGAGCUUGUGGGUGUCAGCAGUGGGGUCAAGGAGGAUAUAGUGGUGGAGGGGCGCACAGUCGGUGUCUUUGGUAGCGGCGGCAUUGGUGGCGUCGUCGUCGGCACCAUUGUUGUCAUCGUCAUCGGUGGGAGUAGAGGGAGAGUGAGGAGGGGAGAAAAAGAGCCAGAAGAACGAAAAGGAACGGAGGAGUGAGAGGUGGGGGAAGUGACGGAUUAGUAGAGUAUUUUUUAAAGAAGUCCAAGAAGUCUUUUUUUACCCCAAAAUUACCCUAUAAGAUCUAUAUUAUGGAGUAAUUUUUUUACUUUAUUGGACCUUCCAAACGGGCCAACUAAAAAGAUAAAGAAGUUUUUUAGAAAACAGAGUAAUUUAACUUAUUACUUUUUAUUGGGGGUUUGCUAAACACACCCUGAAAUUUUCUGAAAUCAAAAGUAAUGAAAUUUUAGGUUGUAGAAACAAAAUUUUAAAGUUCAUUUAUCCAUUUCAAAAUGCACUAUGUAUGUUCAUACCUUUGUUAUAAAAAUUCUAGAUUAUACAACAUUAACCCCUUUAUGCUAUCUUUGCCAUCUCCUUGUUCCUUUCUUGAGCUGAUGUAUUAAUCCUAUUAUCUUCGUUGAAAUCCUACGAGUACACAAAUGUUGUUAUUUUUGUAUUGCAGUUUUUCUUUUGAACCAACUUAUCACAGACUUAACCGUAAUCACUUGUCAAACUUGUGCGGCACUCGCCUUCCUCCAUGAAGUGAGCAAGCCUGCCUCUCUGCUCGCUAGCCUGGAUCUACUCGUCCAAAGACAAAGUACAAGAGAGAGAGUUUGAGGAAUGUUGUACUGUAUUAGAGAGUAGAAAGAUGUUACAAUUGAAUUUCUGAGGAGCGGGGGUGGAGGCCACAAUUAUAUAUAGACCACUCACCACCCAAGCUAACAAAAGAAAAGCGCUAAGUGGCGCAAAACUACAAGCCAAAGAGGGAAGCUACGAACUCCCAAGAGACUACACUUAUUACUCUCCUAAAAAGUCUAAGGGACUCUUGACCCUUCGAUAUCUGUGUCCACAGUCUCGAUACCCAUAGAGAUGCUUCUAGAAGGUCCCAGCAAAACAUCCAACAAUAAUCUUCUUUGUAGUUUGGGUGAUUGCAAAGGGAAAAUCACGAAAAAAUAUUAUGUUCGUGACAAACCACUUAGCAAGGGAAUAUUGACAAUUCGGGUGUAAUACUCGUAUACAAUUAAUUUAAAUUAAAAUUAUAAUAUGCAGGUGUGAUUGGGGUAUUGAGACGAACCCAGUAAUAUAAGUUCCAAUUUAUUUGAGCCAUUGAAUUAAGCCGAUUCGAUUAGAUUUAAGUUAAUUAAACUCCAAUUUUAAUUAGACUAAGAUUAGGAUUAACCCCUUUUUUUUACCUACAAAUAUGUGUAUGGGGAUGUUGUACGGCUAGGGAUUGUGGUCGACUUCUCCGCAUGCAUGUGAAAGAUCAACGGCGAUUAGGAACGAAUCCGGCAAUCGCGAGACAAGAUAACGGGAGAGGUAAGUUUCCAUUAAAUUUCUCUCCUUCUUUAUCUCAUUUUUUUCCUAUUUUCUUUUUUCCAUCUCCCCGCCGCACCCACGGCUAGUGUCGUCGUUGCCAUAGAGGCCGUCGGCCACCUAUCAUACACUAGGCAGAUUUCAUUUGGGCGGCGAACAUGAUAGUACCAAGUAGAGGUGUCAACGAGCUGAACACGAGCGAGCUGGGAUCGCCUCGUGAACACGAGUUGGCUCGUUAAAGUAUCAAGCCGAAAAAUUUAGCUCGUUUAUUAAUGAGCUGAAUACGAGCCGAACACGCGCUGACUCACCAACAAUAAGUUAAAAGGAUUAGAAAUAUUAUAUAGAAAAUAAAUUUAUAAGAUUGUACCCAUCAAGCUUUGAUCUAAUAGUUGAAACUUUACAUAUACAUGGGCAUUUUUAUAAUUGAUUUGGGCUUUAUAUUUAGGUUGAACUAAAAAUUAAAUAAUAAAAAUUUAUAUUAUAUUAUAUAAUUAAUUAUUUAUUUAUAUAAUUAUAAAUUAUAUAAAUAUAAAAUAUAUGUAUUCGAGCUGUUAUUGAGCCGAACACAAACGAGCUGACCCCAGCUCGUGUUCGCUUCGUUUAUUAUACGAGUUGAAAAAUUUAGCUCGUGUUCAGCUCGUUUACUAAACGAGCUAGUCGAUCUCGAGCUUAUUUUGAGCCGAACACGAGCUGGCUCGCGAAUGGCGAGCUGGAUUGUCACCCCUAGUUCCAAGUGGGUUUGAGAGGAGAUAUGACCGAAGAAAAUGAGAAAAGGAGUAAAAAGAUAAACUUGCUUAGAUCUGGCGAGACCCGAUCCAUAGUGGACUAUAAUGAAAUUUUUCAUGAAUUAAUAUACCUUGGAUUUAAUCUAUCAUAAUAAUUUCUUAGAUGCAAUUAUUUAUUAUUCACUAUACUGUAUGUGAUAUUAGACCGGAAAAGCCGCUGGUACACGCCGCAGUGUUAGACCGGGUGCAUCGAAUUCUGCAAACUAUUAAUGGCUUAAUUGAGCAGUCAAGGACCAAUCUGUAAAUAGCAUUUUUGGUUUUUAGAGGCUAAUUUAUUUUGUAAACAACUGUUGCGGUCAGAUAUCUUGGAGGAAAGUAAUUUAUUCUGUACGCGGUUUUCAAAGAGGAACGAUUCGUAAUUGUAGCUCUCGUAGUUAGAGCAACGGAGUGGAGGCGCUCCAACUUAUAACUGUUACAGUUUGAAUUUAAAAUUAUUAUUUAUUUUAUUGAAAGUAGAUUACUUGUUAAGCAUUGCGCUUCCUUUUGUUAUCUACCGUUUCAGCUACCGGAGUCGAGGCAUGUGAGAUAAUCGACGGACGAGGACUUGCUAGAUAGACUUGACUCACUCGGACGCUUAGUUUAUUUUGAUUCAGCUAGAUUGAAUAGAAUUAUUUUUCUUCACUCGGACACUUAGUUUAUUUAUUUAUGCACUACAAUUAGACUUUAGUAGUUAUUGCCCAACUUCAUUUUAAUUAGUAAAUUAUUUUAUUUAGUCUUUAAUUGAGAAUGUCGCUUUGGAUCUACUUAAAGCCUUCUGUUUUUGGAGAUUCUUCCUUCUAAUUUGCGGCCGGUUGCUAUGGUUCGGAUCCAAGUAGUCGGAUCCGGAGCGUGACACAAGGAAUGACAUUACAAAACUUUCUUCCUUUUUCAGCUUUUGGUAGCAUAGUUAUUGUAAUUAGUUGUAGUAACUAUGGGUAGGAUCACCUAACUAUUUUGGCUUCAUUACUUCGAAUGUUGAUGGUUUGGUCAUCUUAAUCUUUUGUGACUUAAUUUAGGUUAGGCUCAAAGGCCGGUUGUUUGUUUCACCUAUUUAUAUACUGGGGCAAUGGUCAGUUAUGUAUGUAACAAAUUGGCCUAGCUUACUAGUAUUAGCAAUAUGUUGGGCCUAAUACUAGCAAAAUACUUAAAUCCAAGUUACUUAUUCUAGAGUUCUCGUCUUUAUGUACAAGAAGAUAUAGUCCUUUCUCAAUCCAAUAGGGAGUGUUAGGGGGUGUUACAAUAUAUUCCUUAGCCUGCAAAUUUUUGGGGUAAUUUCUAAUUGGAUGAAGUGUUGCCAUGGCUAUGCUUUCAGAAGAAGUAUUAUAUUGAAAUCUCUUCAAUGGAUUCUCUAAAAUCUCUUCCUGAUAUCUGUUAUACUAGAAGCACUAGACAUUUCCUUUUGCCAAAUGCUUUACCAGGGGAGUCUGUUGCUGAGAGUUGUAAAGCCACAAAUGGCUUACUUUCAGUCUAGCAUAUCUUUCAUUACUCUUCUAGAUAUUCACAUUCCUUUCUAUAUUACUUUAUUACUUUUUCAGUUACUACUGCUACAAAUGGCUUACAAGCAUGGAAAAUCUUGGAGGAUUUGACAAAGCAUAUUGACCUUGUCUUGACCGAGGUGGUCAUGCCUUCUUUAUCUGGGCUUGGUCUUCUAAGCAAAAUCAUGAGCCACAAGACUUGCAAGAAUAUUCCAGUGAUUAGUGAGUACCCUUCCACAAAUUUAUAUUUUGAAAAAUUGUUCUAUUGAGUUUUUCAAUUUUGAUACUUUUAACUGCUACACCUGAUGAGCUUUGUGUGCAGUGAUGUCAUCAAGUGAUUCUAUGGGUACAGUGUUUAAAUGUUUAUCAAAAGGUGCAGUUGACUUUUUAGUGAAACCUAUCCGUAAGAAUGAGCUUAAAAACCUUUGGCAGCACGUUUGGAGGAGGUGUCAUAGUGUAAGUUGCUAUGGAUCUACUCUUCAAUUUGGUGGUUUACUUUGUUGCUAAUUUUAAAUUUGUUGUUUUACUUUGUUGCUUACUUGUGUGGAAUAUAUUUGACUUUGUUAUGAAUGGAAUAGCUUAUUUUUAUGUUUCAGUCCAGCGGUAGUGGAAGUGAAAGUGGAAUUCAAACGCAGAAAUGUGCCAAUUCAAAGAGUGCUGAAGAGUCUGAUAAUAAUAGCGACAGCAAUGAUGACGAUGAUAAUGGGAGCAUUGGUUUGAAUGCAAGGGAUGGAAGUGAUAACGGAAGUGGAACUCAGGUAUGCACUGCAGUAAGUAAUUAUUUUUCAUGACACUUUUCUGAGAAGUUUUACUUAAAGAAGCGUAGGGAAUACUAAUUAAUCACUUCAUUUUUCAGUAGAAUUUGGUGAUGUUUAACUGAUAUUUGUUAUCAAAUAUGGUCUCUCGAACAAGACUUAAAGGGAUCUUAUGCUGUGUAAUACAUGCUGGUGAAUUUGCAAAAGUAUAUUGUUAGAACUCAGGGCUUGAAAAUAGCAGCAUAGCCUUUAUUGUGCUUCUCUUACUUCUAUGAUCAUAAACCUGAUUUAUAAGUUUCAAGGUCUAAUUCUUUGAAGUACAUGAUAUUUGAAAUUAUUGCUACCCUUUGGAGCUGGGAGCCAGGCUUGCGUUGCCCCAACAUCUAAAUAAAGGGCGGGGAUGUGCCUACAGCGACACUUUAGACCUUUGUUGAUGUACAUGGAUUGUUUUUCCAGCUGGUGGAGCUUUGUCGUUUUAACAUACCUACAGUUCAUUUGAAAUUUUCUUUGACACAUACAACCAUCACAAGUAUGAAUUUCUUGUAUAUUACUAAGGUAAGCUUCAUAAGUCAGAUCAUGUAUCAUAAAUGUAUUGCCAAGAUAGUGGAAAGAGUUUGGCAUCUAAGAUCUAACUAAGGGCUCAUUGGGCUUAUAGUCCUAAUUCAAGAAGAACCCAGAGUAGUUAGUUGAUGUCAUUAAAUUUUGAAAGGCACAAGGUGCGUGCUAGGGCUCCAGAAGCCUAGUUGCAAGGCACGCGCUUAAGGAGGAUGAGUCUCACAUCUACCAGUAAACAUGUCAUUCUAGUCUUGACGUGUUAUACAUUUCUGUUGUGGGUGCUCAAGAUGCUGCAAUGGCAACAAAGAAGAGCAAAGCUUCAAGCCCAAGUAGCGAGUUAGGCAUUUUUACUGGGACUAUCAUAGAUAGAUUUAAUAUGCAAUCUUACCUGCAAACCAACAAGAUCUGUUUUCAUGAAACUCAUCUACUUCAAUGAGGGAGACAUGAUGAUCCCAAGUUCUACUGAGAGAAAACAUAAACUGUGGCAUUGCAUGUUUCAUUGAAGUCAUUACAUCCUGAUCCUUUAACAUGCAGAGUUCCUGGACAAAACGUGCUGUGGAUGUUGACAGUCCCCAACCUAUGUCUCCAUCAGAUCAGUUGGCAGAUCCACCUGAUAGCACUUGUGCACAAGUGAUUCACCCAAGACCUGAAAUAUUCUGUAACAAACAGCUGCCUCUGACUAGUAACAAAAGUUGCCGACGACAGAAAGACUUUGCUGGUAAGAUAUCUAGAGAAGAAGAAAAAGAUAAAGAUAAAGGGAGUUUAAUUACAAAUUUGGUCCUUGAAUUUUACGAAAAUCUAAAUUUAGUCCUUGAUUUUUUUGCUCUUUAUUUAACAAUUAUGCCUGAAUGUUUGGCCCGUUCAAUUUUGUUCCCAAUGUUUGACCUUGAUUUUAGUUGUGUUUUCAAAGUUUCAACCAUAACAGAGAAAAUCUAUCCAUGUUGAAUCAAGCUUUCUUGUUCUAGGUUCCUAUGUAGCACUUUGCAUUUACCUAACGAGUUGAAAUCAAUGUCGAACAUAAGGGAAUAAAUUUGUAACAAAUCCAAACAGGAAAAAAAAAAAAGAAGCUUCUUUCUGCACCAUCCUAUCAUUUUUAGCUGAAUUCGUCAUCUAUUUUGCAGAUGACUUCAUGGGAAAGGACUUAGAAAUCGGAAUGCCUGGAAACUCAGCUACAGAUUAUGAGUUAUACCAAACAGAGCAGGUUAAUUCCAAGCCAACAGGUGCAAUCUUUGAGAAAAUGCCUCCUGAGAGUGGCCAAAAGAGUGAGGGAGUGAUCGGACUUGAUGGCAGCAACACUUCCGACGAACCAAGAGCUCAAGCAGCUGAUCUGAUAGGUGUGAUGGCCAAUAACACGGAAGUUCAACAGGCAGCCAAAUAUGUCCCAAAUGGCUUCUCUAAGACCAUAGAUGGAAAAGGCAAAAGCACCGAUGGCUUUUUUGAAUUACCCUCCCUUGACUUGAGUCUAAGGAGGCUAAGAUCGGUUGGAGAUGGCAUAUCUCCAAACACGGACGAUCGCAACGUUCUACGACGAUCAGAUCUAUCAGCAUUUACAAGGUGCCAAAAAUAAUAUCAGUGUCCUCUCUAUCCUAUUAUAUCAACAAGAACUUGCUCUCUUAUUGUUUGUUACACUCGUUGCAAGGUACCACAUGUCUGCUGCUUCGAAUCAAGCCCUGACUGGUUAUGGAGGAAGCUGUUCGCCACUCGAUAACAGCUCAGAGGCCGUGAAGACUGAGUCAACAUACAACAUGAUAUCCAAUUCAAAUGCCGCUCCAAUUAAGCAACGGUCCAAUGGUAGCAGUAACAAUAAUGAUAUGGGCUCCUCCACCAAGAAUGUAGUCACUAAGCCAUCAGCGGCUACAUACAAGGAAAAAAUAUCAUUACCAUCCGCAGUCAAGGUUGGUAUUCAAUAUACCUCUGCCGUCCACCCCAUGCAGUUCCGAGCCUCGGCUUCUCCUCAUGUUGUCCAAGACAAAGCUGAUGAGGCGAUGGCAGGUGGUGCGGUGGGAGGACAACAAAGGGAAGUACAGAAUCAGGUGCAGGUUCGACAUCACCAUCACCAUUACCACCACCAUCACCACCAUGUUCACAGUAUGCAGCAGCAGCAGCAGCAGCAGCCACUGGAUAAUGACUUGUCCCUUAAGAACAUAGCAGCAUCAGGCACCCAGUGUGGUACGUCAAAUGUGUUCACUGGUGGCUUAGUGGAAGGUCAUGCUGCGAAUUAUAGCUUAAACGGGAGCAACUCGGGAAGUAAUCAUGGGAGCAACGGGCAAAAUGCGAGCAACACUGCCGCAAAUGGUGGAGAAGGAAUGAACAUAGAGAGUGCUAAUGGAGCUGCAGAUAAAUGUGGGGGGGGUGGUGGGGCCAAUGGGAGUGGGAGUGGAAGUGGAAGCGGUGUGUACCAGAAUUGGCUUGCACAGAGAGAGGCUGCGUUGAACAAGUUCAGGCAGAAAAGGAAAGAGAGGAAUUUUGGGAAAAAGGUAUCCUGUUAUCAGUUUCAUCUUCUUUUUUUUAUCAGCAACAAGUAAAGGAUAUUUCUCAAAAAAAAAAAAAAAACAAGUAAAGGAUUACAAACAUCAACUAAUUGUGUUUUAGUUUUGCAAAAAUAAAGCUUAAUCCACCACUUCCCGGUUUAAUUUACCCAUAUGCUUGUAGAUAUGCAAUUUGUUAGUUUAAAAAAAAAAAAAUGAGGAAACAAAAUUAGAAAUAUAAAUUUUGAAAAAUAACAGAUUUAGUCUGAUUCUUCUGCAUUGUAGUUGGUAAGUUGGACAACUUGCACAAGAUAUAGAAGCUCUGAAGUCAGAUCAGAUAGUUCAGCACCUGCCAAAUUCUAAUUCCUUUUAUUUCUUUUUUGUUGUUGCUUUACUUUAGUGUUGCAUACUAGUUUGGAGAUUCGAAAGGGACUGGUUUCUUUUUUUAUGCUUUUUUUGUUUUCAGGUGCGCUAUCAGAGCAGGAAGAGGCUGGCCGAGCAGCGGCCACGUGUUCGUGGGCAAUUCGUACGCCAAACUGCACUUGAACAAAUGGGCCUGAAAGCGGAAAGAUGACGCAAUCUUUAAUUUCCAGAAUUGCUAUAUAUGCUUGCAAAAAGUACCAAUCAUAAGCAGGCAAUGGAUUCUGCUGCUUAGAGCAGCUCAUUCAUGAAUAGCACCUAGGAUUGAACUCGUGAGAAUACUAAAUAAUAGACCCACUUAAAAGUGUGUAUUAUGACUUCUUGAUGACUCCCCUAUGGAUAUUUCCUCACCCUCCAAAGGGUUGCAAUCAGCUGUACUAGUAAAUGUACACGGGUUGAUGCUGUUUGUAAUGGUUUGUGUUCUUCAGUUCUUCUGUUACUGUUAUCUUGUAUCACAGUAGCUUAUCAGUUAGCUAAUUAUUUGAUCUAUCAGAUGUUUGUUUCUAAAAGCCAGUGGAUUAUAUUUUACCUCCCUAGAUGCAGAUGAUAAGUUGGUUUUCCUAAGGUGGCGAAUAGCUACUGAAUCAGCUUAUCGCCACUCAAAUGUCCACUUUAGAUGCCAAUCUGACUCACCGACAACUGUAUUCAGGACAUCCUUUGGAUACCUGUAUUGUUACUCAGAGUAGGCGAGCUGUGGUAGUAGGCACCCAUCGAAUGAUAUCAUGGGGCCAUCGGGCCAGAGUAUGAUCUCGGCUACCCUGGGUGGAAACCUGCUGGUUCCUACGCUAGUCAAUACCUACUCUCUCAGCGGCAAGUACGACUCCGACAGGGAAAUGGUUGUGGAGAGUCAACAUUGGUCUUGGCAGUCUGAUAUCCGGAUAAUUAUGGCAGUCAUCCAUCUUCGAUGGUUCCUCCUGUUUGCAUCAACUUAUUCUUCUGAUGCUCAAGAUUUACAACCUUACCAAGUAAACUUUACGUCUGCUCAACCUUUUGACUCUGUACAACAGAAGAUGAUAAACAUGCUGGCCCUUGUUGAAAUUCAGGCCCCAAAAUUCAUGGCUUAAAAUGGACCAUAUAUAUAACAAUCUGUGUGGCAGUACAGUUUCUUUACAAAACUAUGACUAAUGAAGCAACCAAAUUAUCAGAGCUGUAAUAAAAUUUCAGAAAACAUCAAUGGACUUUCUACUGUGUAUAUAAGAGCAGUACCUCCAAUUGCAGGAAGAAAUCAACAACUUAAUGAAUCAAAGGUCUCACAGGUUCCAGAUAAUGUCAGCACGAGUAGAAAGAAAUAAGAUAAUUAGAAGACUAUUGCAUAGUAAGUGCCCUUUCUUCCACUACUCUUUAUCUAAUUGUCUCACUAGUAUACAGGAGUAAGGAAACUGUGAAUACUAGAGGUUACAAGAAUUCUGCCGAUGCCUGCCUCAGAUGUAAAUACCUGAGAAUACAAGCUUCAGUGUCGACUUCCUGGAUAAAAAGUUUCAACACCAUUUUCCUUCACCUUGAAAUGGAAAUUCCGAACCUUUUGCAUUGGGCGUGCAUGAUCUUUAAAUAUCUCCUUAUUUACAAUAGUCAACUGUCAAAACAAAUGCAGUAGUAUAACAAAGAUAAGACAGCAAGCGUCGAUAACUUCCCGGAAAUCUAAAGAAAAAGAUGCAGAUGGUAAUAUAAGAUCAUAUGUUAAGAGCUAAAGUUUUAUUUUAAAGACGUUCAAUUUUAAAGCAUACUACCAAAAAGUAUCCCAUGGUACUCAGCUGUGUUUCAAAUAGUAUAUUAUAAUAAAUAAAUGUGAUUGAACAAUUAUGACACACAAAAGGCAUCAUGUAUAUUUACCUGUCCGUGCACAUCGGCAGCCAAACCAGUAUUCAAUGGUCCAACCUUUAUCAAAAAGUCUGAAAAGUACCGUAGAUGUGUAAGAAGUUCAUGGUCUUCCUCGGUUGCAUAAAUGUCUUCAUGGUUUAGAAUUACCAAUGAGCAAUCCUGUUUAAAAGAAUAUCACAAAGAUUUAAUUGGAGCAAGGAGUGAGAAAUAGCACCAGGUGAGACAAGCUUGGAACUAUCUAUCUAACCAUCACAGAGGUAAGGCUAAUGCAGUAGUGCAAAAAGUCCAAGACAUCGUCCAUAGAACCAUGAGCAGCAAUUUCCAAAAAAGAGAGGUCAUCUAUCAUUAUAUUAACACAGCCCUUGUUAUCUUCCUGCAAGCUGCAGCCUUCUACAACCCUUUGAAUCUCUCUGUACAAGUCUAAAAACCCACGGUUUGUGGCAUUUCCCUUUCUAAGACCUGUAUGUAAGCGAAAAUGUAAACAGUCCAUAGAUGGCUUAAACUGGUCAAAUCACAGUAUUUAUGUAAUUGACCAAAGGUGUAACUUGAAAGUUGAUUUUGAAAGGACAAACAGUUAAAAGACAGUACUUGAUCAAGUAACAUCAUUUACUUUCCCACUCACCUGGAUAUUCAAGCAAGUCAAAGAAAUGUAGCUUAUUGUUUUUCCGUUGCACAGAUAGAUUACAGCCCUGUAAAAGGAGAGUUAAAAUGGCUGCUUUCCUAUUGAAGUUUUCAAAGAAUAGAAUGUAUGUACGAAAACCAUAAUAGCGUGUAUUAAAAGCAAAACUCAGGAUGACACACCCGUCCCCAGUUCUUGAAUUCCUUUCUUAUCUAUAUCACAACCCUGUAAAAGGAGAGCUAGAAUUGGCGUCUUUCCUAUUGUAAGUUUUCAAAAAUAGAAUCCAUGUAAGAAAACCAUAAAAAUAUAUACUAGAAGAAAAACUAAGUAUGUCACUCCCCAGUCCCGAGUUCUUGAACUCCUUUGUCAAGCAAUUCAAAUUCAAAAACAGAGCAUUACAAUGUAGAAAAACUCUACAAAACAAAAAAAAAAAUUAUCAUAAAAAGUUAAGAACACCCUGAAAACACCAGCUUAAGUUAUCUUUAGAUGGGCACAGAUAAAUGUUAAGAUCAAACCAGUAUGAGUACGAGUUUUGUAGAACACAGAAUGACCUCAAUGAAGCUACCAAGGUUUGUUCAACAAAAUCCUGAAGUCUCAAAAAUAGAAAUUCCAAAAACUAGAUGCAUAUUAGUAAAGGUAAUACAAGAUAAUGGCACUCAAAUGCAAAAAAGUAUACUUAAACAUCCCAAAAAUUUCCAUGAACUUACGGCUAAAUACACCUAAACAUUCAAAAGAUCUACAUGAACUUUCCACUAGAAUCACGUCCUUGACAGGUAAUCAAUUGGCAUACCUGGGAACAAAUGAUAGUAACAAAAGUGAAAAUCCUUUUGACAAGCUACAUGUUUUUCUUAUAUGUGUUAUGUGUAAAACUGAUUCUGAGCCCUAAUAUCUUCCUCGGUCACUAACAACUCACCACAUAUGUUUAAAUUCAGUGGUGACCAUCUUUUAUACAGGAGCCAACAGUCUCAUAAUUAAAGCUGCUUCAAAACUUAGCCUCCAAAUGAAGAUUGAAUUCUUUUCAACAUGUAACUUUGUUUCAUCAGAAUGCAGGAUAAGUGUUUUAAAACCCAUAUGCAUGCUCUUGAUUGGCAUUAAACAACUUGCUUUCACAUUUUUUUUAUUCUUUACUGUUUAAUAUUUCUUAUCCAAGACAACUAAACCUAGAAAAUAGGACAUCCAGAUAGCAACAACUAGUUCCCAAAAAUUCUUCAGUUUGAUGGUCGUCAAUAACAACCUUUUGACAUAAGAGAAUUCACUAGAUCAAAAAAAAAAAAAAGGUCGGGCACCCUUGGUAUUAGGUGGCCAAGAAAAGGAUUGAGUAUUAUCUCUUCAUAAUUCAAGGGAAUUAUAAAUGUAUACCAACCUAUCCUCAACUAUUUCGAGAUUACAGACUUUGUGGAUCAGCAAUUGCUUAUGAGAAAGAAACAAGCUGCCGAAUUUUUUACUUCGAGCAAAAGUCUGCCCUUGCGUACAUGUCCCUUCUCAGAAAUUUGGAGAUCUACAUGAAGAAUAUGCCAUACAAAAACUUCAGAGACUCACUCGUAACUCCGGUAUCCUCCCUCUUGUGAAACCCUAGACGUCUUUCAAUUACCCCAUCUACGUUCAAACAAAGACGAAAUAAUCCUCUACUUUCUUACGAAAUGCACAACCAUGGAACAGGUAUAAAACCAUACCAAAAACUAUCCGAGUGCUAGGGUUUCCUCAAGAUCUAUCCUCCUCCCAAGACAAGAUCGAUCCAAACCCUAGUCACACGAGUUGAGCGGCAGCGCACCGAAACCGUUCGAGAAAAUGCCAACAAGAGCGCAACACGAGAUUAGGGCUUCCGACCAAGGAUCUCACCAGCUUACGGAGAAGGCGAUCGUAGUGGGCGAAGGGCUGCGCGAAGGCAAGGAAGACGACGGCGCCGCCGCCGCCGCCGCCGGAGGAGAGCGCGCGCUUCAAGAAGUGGUGGAGGACGAAGGCGCCGCUCGUCUCGACGCAGUCCUCCACGAGGACGACGACGCCGCCGCGGGGGAAUGGGGCGGCGGAUCCGGGGGCGAACCCCAUGGCCUCGUCGAGAAGGUUCGGGAGCUCGGCCAUCGCCCGCGCCAACCACGAACCAGAGAGCGGCGCCUUUCGAUUUUGCUCCCGCCCUAGAUAUAUAUAUAUGUGGCGACUUCGAGAAGAACCGUGGGGUUCAUUGGACCAAGUUGAACCCGGUCCACCAUGUCAGCCUUGAAUGGUCCAGUGAAUAUAUUCUAACCAGCAAAACUAUACUCACUCACAUUUUUUUUAAUAUCAUAUUUUUUUUGUGUAUUCGAACCAGCAAUACUAUACCCCUGUACAUUCUUUAUAUUGUUUUAUUUAUACGAUGAUAUGAAGUAUUUUUAUUGAAAAACAUUAGUAAUUUAUUUGGACGUAGGUUGUAAUCUACCGAUGUUACUGUAAUUGCAGUGGUCAAAAAAUAAUAAUGAAAAAUUAUCACGUCAGUUUGCGUAAGAAUAUGUAAAAUUUAUGUAUAUGGGGCUAAGCUUUUUUCGUAUCCUAAUUAACUUGCGGCAUUAGCUGUCGACCACUUACUAAGUGCUCUCUUUCAUAAGUUUUAUUUCUCAUUUUCAGUACCCGUAACUUGCAAGAGAAAUUGGUAUCGUAAGCUCAAGAACAAAUCCUUUUCCACAAUACUUUAGAGAUAUAUAUAUUUUACAAUAGUUUACAAUAUUAUUCUAGACGCUACAUCUUUCCAAAAGUUGUUGAUUUCUUUAACAUACUUACGUAUGUGAGAGUUUUGAUUGAUUCAAAAAUACAGCACAAAACACUGCAUUAUUUUGUUUACGACCGUAGCAAGCAGCAACCUAGCUUUACAGACAAUUUAAGAGACAUACAAAGCAGUUCGCUUUUUAAAAAUCAUAAUUUUAAUGACUAUAUGAUAUCCAGUAAAUAAGAAAAGUCUGGCUAAUCUUAAAGCGCUUUCUAAGCUGCUUAUUUCACUUCAGAUUUACCUUACGCAAAAUUAUAUAAUCACGAAUAGAAGAAUAUUGAUCAAAUCAAUAAAUAUGUUUAAUAUUUUGAAUCACAACAAAAUUAUUACUUUGAAAGUUACUUUACUCGACAUAUUCCUUUCAUUCACUAUAAUAGGAAAGGAAGAGAGAGAGAGCGCGUUAAAAGCCAAAGUGUAGUAUUUGUCUUUAGUGACCAGGCAACUAAGUACGGAUGAGGCCAAUAGAAUGCGACGUUCAUGGCAACUUGAAAUUAUAGAGAGAGAUGCAUGUACGUAGCUCUGUGUACGUACGCGUUUGACUCGCUCUCUAUUUGAAUUUGAAAGAUGGUGUGGCAUGCGUUCACACAACCGCAGCUGGAGCUAAGCUGUGUUCUAUCUCUUUUGGAACCGCUCUACAACUUGCAUGCAUGAAGCUGUGCCAUGCACGUGGUUCUCUUUGCCUUUACCUUCCUCAUGUACAGCUAAAAAGAUAUGGACGUAAGAAGAUCGCUUAUUCCACUUCCAUCUAGCUAGUUCGAAGUUGUAGCUAACCCCACCUAACUCCACCUCAAAUAAAUUAUUCCGAGUUAGCUAAUCCCACCUAAUCCCACCAAACUCCAACCAAACACUAUUUUCUAUUCAUAAUAACCCACUAUCUUUCUUAUCACACCUACUCCAGCAAAUCAUUAUCCUUUUUUACCAAUCAUUAUCUUCUUAUCCCAUCUACCCAACCAAACAAUAUUUUUCAUUAUUCUAGACUAACUCCAAUCCCCAACCAAACACAAAAAAACUUUAACCCCACUUUAACCCUGAACUUAACUCUAUUCCUGGAAUAGCUAUUUUUUCCUUAACCCCGAACCAAACGGAGGCGUAGUGUCUAUUUCAUUCAAAAAC